Long non-coding RNA from Carlito syrichta (Philippine tarsier), 473 nucleotides. RefSeq lists it as uncharacterized. The transcript has 2 exons. The record is from RefSeq and is a predicted model, not a curated record. NCBI's taxonomy places the organism in Eukaryota, Metazoa, Chordata, Mammalia, Primates, Tarsiidae.
CCCCCACCCCCAGCAUCAACCUGCCGUUGCUGGACCGAACGAUCCCCGACUACACCAGCUUUAACACGGUGGACGAGUGGCUGGAGGCCAUCAAGAUGGGGCAGUACAAGGAGAGCUUCGCCAGCGCCGGUUUCACGUCCUUUGACAUCGUGUCUCAGAUGAUGAUGGAGGACAUUCUCCGGGUUGGGGUCACUUUGGCUGGCCACCAGAAAAAAAUCCUGAACAGUAUCCAGGUGAUGCGGGCACAGAUGAACCAGAUUCAGUCUGUGGAGGUUUGACGUUCGCCUGCCUCUGCUCACCUCUUCCUCCAGGCCCCGCCCCCUCCACCCCUGCCGCCGGCCAUCCUGGUGCUCCGUCCACUGCAGGGUCAGCCACCCGCCAGGAGGCCAGGGGCAGCAGGAAGAACCAAGCCGUGCUCCAGCCACGAGACGUCACCGAGAACACAUGCAACUCAAAGACGGAAACAAAGGGAA